AGCUCACUAGUCGAGUGACACUGCGCCGAAGAUGUACCGGGGCUAAACACAAUACCGAAGCUGCGGACUUGCAUGUAAGUGCAAGUGGUAGGGGAGCGUUCUAAGUGCUGAGAAGGUAGACCGUAAGGACUGCUGGAGCGCUUAGAAGUGAGAAUGCCGGUGUGAGUAACGAAAAUUGGGUGAGAAUCCCAUUCACCGUUUGACUAAGGGUUCCUGGGUAAAGUUCGUCUUCCCAGGGUAAGUCAGGACCUAAGAUGAGGCUGAAAAGCGUAGUCGAUGGACAACAGGUUGAUAUUCCUGUACCACCUAUAUGACUGAAGGAGUGACGGAGAAAGCUAGUGAGAGCCAGUUAAUGGAUUCUGGUCUAAGUGCGUAGGCUAGUAUGUUGGCAAAUCCGCAAUACUAUAACAGCUGAAACAUGAUGGGGAAGAGAGUCUUCGGACAAUCGAACUUUCAUGAUGCUAUGCUUCCAAGAAAAGCUUCUAGGGUUAAUCGUAUAGGUGCCUGUACCGACAACCGACACAGGUGGUCAAGGAGAGUAUCCUAAGGUGAGCGAGAGAACUAUGGUUAAGGAACUCGGCAAAAUGACCCCGUAACUUCGGGAGAAGGGGUGGUCUAGCGAUAGACCCGCAGUGAAUAGGCCCAGGCAACUGUUUACCAAAAACACAGGUCUCUGCUAACACGUAAGUGGAUGUAUAGGGGCUGACGCCUGCCCAGUGCUGGAAGGUUAAAGAGAUUAGUUAGUAUGACGUAAGUCGAUAAUACGAAGCUUUGAACUGAAGCCCCAGUGAACGGCGGCCGUAACUAUAACGGUCCUAAGGUAGCGAAAUUCCUUGUCAGGUAAGUUCUGACCCGCACGAAAGGCGUAAUGAUCUGGGUACUGUCUCAACCAUAGACUCGGUGAAAUCUUAAUACCUGUGAAAAUGCAGGUUACCCGCGACUGGACGGAAAGACCCCGUGGAGCUUUACUGUAGCUUGAUAUUGGAAUUCGGUAAACUAUGUAGAGCAUAGGUGGGAGACUAUGAGAUUAAGGCGCCAGCCUUAAAGGAGUCACCAUUGGAAUACCACCCUUAGUUUAUUGGAUUUCUAACCUAGGACCAUAAUCUGGUUCAGGGACAGUGUCUGGUGGGCAGUUUGACUGGGGCGGUCGCCUCCUAAAGAGUAACGGAGGCGUUCAAAGGUUCCCUCAGAAUGGUUGGAAAUCAUUCAAAGAGCAUAAAGGUAUAAAGGGAGCUUGACUGCAAGACCUACAAGUCAAGCAGGUGCGAAAGCAGGACUUAGUGAUCAGGCGAUUCAGAAUGGAAUGGUCGUCGCUUAACGGAUAAAAGUUACCCCGGGGAUAACAGGCUGAUACCACCCAAUAGUUCACAUAGACGGUGGUGUUUGGCACCUCGAUGUCGGCUCGUCAUAUCCUGGAGGUGGAGUCGCUUCCAAGGGUUGGGCUGUUCGCCCAUUAAAAUGGCACGCGAGCUGGGUUCAGAACGUCGUGAGACAGUUCGGUCCCUAUCCGUCGUGGGCGCAGGAAAAUUGAGGAGAGCUAUCCUUAGUACGAGAGGACCGGGAUGGACCUACCUCUGGUGUAUCUGUUGUCACGCCAGUGGCAGUGCAGAGUAGCUAUGUAGGGAAGGGAUAAACGCUGAAAGCAUCUAAGCGUGAAGCCCUCUCCAAGAUGAGUUUUCCCAUUGU
This 1686-nucleotide ribosomal RNA is filed under the name human gut metagenome. Its description in RNAcentral is "bacterial LSU rRNA". It matches the Rfam family "Bacterial large subunit ribosomal RNA", at positions 1139 to 2820 of the family's 2925-position model. The record is from RNAcentral.